This is a long non-coding RNA of Musa acuminata AAA Group (dessert banana), 551 nucleotides long. RefSeq lists it as uncharacterized. The transcript is spliced from 2 exons. Lineage: Eukaryota; Viridiplantae; Streptophyta; Magnoliopsida; Zingiberales; Musaceae. The record is from RefSeq and is a predicted model, not a curated record.
CGGUGAACCAACCCAUCUCAUUUCAUAUAAACACCUCCUCCGCCCACUUUCUCCGUCGCAUCGACCUUCCCUCCGCGCGCCUCUUCUUUUCCUCCGCUCCCCGUUGAACCCACUGAAAACCCUAAUCUGCAUCCGCCGUCGGGGAACUCGACCUGUGUCCCUUUCGUUUGAUGCGGUGCGCGCGAUGGAUGUGGGUGGGGCGCGCAUCCACUCGUCGCAUAGUCAAGGAGGUUUUCCGAGACUUCAGAGGCAGAAGAGCCGGCUUGAGCAUGGCGCUGACAACUGAUUUCCAGAGGUUCGACCAGCAGUGCGUUACGGGCGAGUUGAGCCCUCCAUUUCUUUGCCUGCUUCUCUUUCAUUAGGGUUGCGCGUUUUUGUGCAUACCUCUUCGUUUCUAUCAUGUUCCACAUAACACGAUACAUUAAGAUUUCAGGUCGGGUAUAAAUCUCAACGUGUGUCCUGUGGAUAAUAGGAUUCUGGAUUCGAUCCUUUUGGAUAUACGCAUGAUAUAUGACAAUCAGCUACAAUAAGUUAAUUCUGUUAUGUUUUCA